AGGUCGAAAUGUCCAGCUCUCGAGUCGCGUCUAUUUUUGGGGAUGCGCGUCUCUUCAGCGUACGAACUCGCAUUCCUUCGUGUUCAGUGUACAUGUAACGCGUCCGUGUUUUAAAAAAAUAAAAAAAAAACAUAAUAAUAAUAGCAGAAAAAAGAAGAAGUCAUAACUUAAAUGAAAGCUUAUGUUCGUGGGAAAAUGUUCAGAGUAAAAUAUUCCAAAUUAAACAAAAAUAAAUAAAUUAAUUUUUCCUCCUCUAUGAGAGUGCAAUUUGAAAUAUUUUUAUGGUAUCUAAGAGAGGCAAUGAAAAUUUAUUGGAAUGACGAUCAUUGAUCGAUCGAAUCGUUUCUGAAAGUGAAACUCAUUUGAUACGUGACUUGAACCGGUGCCAGCAUCGUCUCAACGCGUUGGAAAAGCAGCAACAUGGAAAUUAUUAUCGCGUUAAAUAUGUAUCAAGUGACUCACGAAAAGAAGACGUAUUCUUGUUACAUAACGUUAUGAAUGUCUGCUUACUCAACACCGUUUGUAUUAUCAAAAUUAGAAGUACAGUUUGGACAAUGGGAAGUGCUCCGACUUCCGGAGAACGAACAGUUAUGGCGAUGUCACGAGUCUCUCUUUUCUCGAUAAAUGCUUCGUUUGUAAUAUGAAUAAAGCUCCCGAUAUAGAGUCGGUCUGUCCGGAAUUAGAUCGUUCUAUUCGCGGUCCGAAGAAACCUGACGUCAAGCUUGCAACGAGCUGUUCGCGUCGUUCCUUGAGGCCUCUUUCCAAAACAAUGCCGCGCGUCUCGAUUACACAUGUUCUCACAAUAUCGUUCAAUACCACAGUGACAAAGUACCCUAUUCAAAGGAACAUUAUACAGAAUAGAAUUAGGUAUAAUUUUUUCACUUCAUAUUUGGCUUUUUCAUUACUUAAUUACUUAAUUAGUGACCACAGGGCGUAACAAAAAAAAAAA
Molecule: non-coding RNA, 949 nt
Organism: Osmia lignaria (orchard mason bee)
Lineage: Eukaryota; Metazoa; Arthropoda; Insecta; Hymenoptera; Megachilidae
Source: RefSeq, a predicted model, not a curated record